GGAGCGCCGCGUCUCCUGUCAAUUAGUGUGGGGAAACUAGGGACUGCUGAUUACCGGAGAUGUGGCACAGCGAGCCGCGGUUACCUCUACUUCUGUACCCUGCUGCAUUUUAAUUAGCCCUAGUCCCUCGACAACUUCUUCAGGGCUUCGUUAUUGCCAUCUUCAAGGAACUCAAGUGAACCUGGGGUCAUUCUUGGCUGAGCUCCUGUUCACAAGACUGAAGGGAAAUUCAAAGGCAAUUAGGUUCGAGUGGACAAAUAGUCAUCCGGAAAAGGCCUGAGGAACUCCACCACAACUGGGAAAGCAUCAUAGUUUUUAAACAACUGAGAUGUUCUUUAUCAGUGGGCUCCCCUGGUGACACAGAUGGUAAAGAAUCUCCCUGCAACGCAGGAGACCCAGGUUCCAUCCCUGGGUUGGGAAGAUCUCCUGGAGAACGGCAUGGUAACACUCCAGUAUUCUUGCCUAAAGAAUUCCAUAGGUAAGAGGAGCCUGGCGGGCUACAGUCCAUGCGGUCACAAAAAGCUGGACAUGACUGAGCAACUAACAUUUUCACAGUUGAGCCAUGGCAUGGAAUGAAAUUAACUCUCAAACAGUGUUUUCAGCUACCAACAGGACAUGUUAUACGAUUUCAAAAUACCGUGACUUACACAAAACAUAUUGAAUCGUACUGUUGAAUCCACCUCAUAUUUACUAAAGAUGGUUCCAGCCUGAGUCCCAAAAUGUAUAUCUGGAAAGGAUUCAGAGGCCUGUCCCUGCAUCUUUUCCUUACAGAAUUGUAUCUAGAGGCUUCCUUAGUAAGACUCCAACCCAGCAUUUCAGUGUUGUGAUGAUAUACUUGGAGUACUCCCAUCUCAAUAAAAUUAUUUAUCUCAGAAAUAAAAAUACAUUAACUAGUAAUCACAUUGUCACUUAUUUAAAAAUAAACAUGUAGUUUUGAAAGAAAAGAGCAAUAGCAAUGUUAUAUUAAUACUACUAAAGAAAAAUACAAAUAUUUUUUAUUUGUCCUUUGACUAUUUUUCUUCCAUGGAUUCUAAGACCUUGGGAUGUGGAACCAACUACAAACAAGCAACAAUCAGGCCUUCACUAGUAUUCCCUCAUUAUUUCAGAAUAACUCUGACCAAAUUCCACUUUAACCAC
Bubalus bubalis (water buffalo) is the source of this 1137-nucleotide long non-coding RNA. RefSeq lists it as uncharacterized. Lineage: Eukaryota; Metazoa; Chordata; Mammalia; Artiodactyla; Bovidae. The record is from RefSeq and is a predicted model, not a curated record. The transcript is spliced from 3 exons.